CCUACGGGAGGCUGCAGUGAGGAAUAUUGGUCAAUGGGCGAGAGCCUGACCCAGCCAAGUCGCGUGAGUGAAGACCGUCCUACGGAUUGUAAACCUCUUUUGUCAGGGAGCAAGGAGCGCCACGAGUGGUGCGGCUAGAGUACCUGACGAAAAAGCAUCGGCGAACUCCGUGCCAGCAGACGCGGUAAUCCGGAGGAUGCGAGCGUUAUCCGGAUUUAUUGGGUUUAAAGGGUGCGCAGGCGGAAGCGGCACGUCAGCGGUAAAAUUGCGGGGCUCAACCUCGCCGAUCCGUUGAAACUGCUCUUCGAGAGUGGGCGAGAAGGAUGCGGAAUGCGUGGUGUAGCGGUGAAAGGCAUAGAUAUCACGCAGAACUCCGAUUGCGAAGGCAGAAGACCGGCGCCCAACUGAAGCUCAUGCACGAAAGCGUGGGUAUCGAACAGGAGGAGAUACCCCAGUAGGC
Molecule: ribosomal RNA, 460 nt
Filed under: uncultured bacterium
Lineage: Bacteria
Description: partial 16S ribosomal RNA
Rfam family: Bacterial small subunit ribosomal RNA
Source: RNAcentral